RNAcentral lists this ribosomal RNA (253 nucleotides) under uncultured bacterium. Its description in RNAcentral is "partial 16S ribosomal RNA". It matches the Rfam family "Bacterial small subunit ribosomal RNA", at positions 524 to 776 of the family's 1533-position model. The record is from RNAcentral.
UACGUAGGGGGCAAGCGUUGUCCGGAAUUAUUGGGCGUAAAGAGCGUGUAGGCGGUCCGGUAAGUCAGCUGUGAAAGUCAAGGGCUCAACCCUUGAAAGCCGGUUGAUACUGUCGGGCUAGAGUCCGGAAGAGGCGAGUGGAAUUCCCGGUGUAGCGGUGAAAUGCGCAGAUAUCGGGAGGAACAUCAGUGGCGAAGGCGGGUCUCUGGGCCGAUACUGACGCUGAGGAGCGAAAGCGUGGGGAGCGAACAGG